CUCUGGGGCCCCUUACUUGAUAAGGCUUGAGAAGAUGUGGAUUCCAGUUAGAAAAACAUUCAUUAAUUCAACAGUCUUACCCAUUAGGUAAUGAAGCUCACCCAUAGCUCCAAAACAUUGCUGGUAAGACAGGAGUUACGGAGGAGGUGAAGAAUUAGAUGAGGGGACAUCCAGUGUCUGUGAGGUGACUCGAAUGGCCGUCUGUAAAAAGUAUAAAUGCAAAUUACUCUGUUGUUGAUCUGUGUACUGCAACAUGCAAAACAAGGUGGUCUGAAGAGGAGGAGAGUGACUAUCACAGGCUUCUCAUGUUCAAAUAAUAAUGGUUUAAAAAGAAUCAGGUUUUCCUAUCCAAAAGGAAGAGUUCAGCCUCACCAAAAACAAGAUGGCAGGUGCUGAUAGAUUUGUGGCAAACUCAAAGCCUGGCUAAUGGCUAGAGUUGGGGCCUAGACAUUAGUGAGGUGGCCACUCAGUGGGGAGGGGCCAAUGAGACGUUGAUAGACUCGACCGAGAAGCCGUUCUUGUGGCUGAACCAGAGUCACAUUCUGUGCUUACUGAUGCCAAAGAAGAAGGUGGCCUAAGGGCUUCUGAAUGAAGAGAAUACUUAUUUUUUUGUUGAUCUGCAUAGGCUAUGGGGAGUGACCUUUCAGAAGAUCCGAAUGGCCCCUCCUAGCUGAAUCUACAUAUAGGAAGGUAAAAUUAUUUAAUGGCUUUGUCCACACUAAAAGCCAGUUUCUGCCUUGCUUGGUUUUCUAGUUUCAGCUAUAAGGAAAUUUGACGAUUUCUUAUCACGAAGGGCUGUCACAGCCCUGUUGGCUCAGCAAAUGAGGGAAAGGAAGGUGGAUCUAAUCUUCAUAGGUGCUCCAGAAUUGAGUCCAAGUGAAAAAGCAAGAGAGAAAUUUCUGCAGAUCAUUGCCCAAAAUAGCACAGCAAAAAGAUCAGCAGUUGCCUGAUUGGUUGUAAAGGUGGCUGUAUAUCCUUCUUAACUCUUCGAAUAAUUAGCAAUCCCGAAAUCUCAAAACUUCAAGGUUUCAUUGAGUGGGACAGGUAAAAUGGUGACUUCAAGACUCGGAGAUUUGAUGCAAGCCUACUCAUCGUGGCUAUAGGAGGCUGUGUCUCAGUUCCUGUUUUGAUUCCUGACUGCUCAUUUUCUCUUGAAAUGCUUAUAUGUAUCCUUAUCCCAAAUGCAAAGGACAAGGAGGCAACCAUGGACUAAAUCUAGUUACUGAAAUGAAAUCAGGCCCAUCACGGUGCAAAAGGCAGAUUUCGCUUUGUCUCUUUGGCUCCCUUUCCAACUAAUUUUGUGGAUUAAGCCAAAGGAUGUAUAAGACCGCCUGCCCUUCACAAGGACUCUAAUUUAUCCUCGUUUGCAGAUUUCCCUCAAGAGGGUUAAUAUUUCAGGGCAAAUUGAAUGGCCCUGAGAAGGAUGAUCUUGAGUUCCACUCCUUGUAGAAUUUCUUCCAUCUAACCCAUGGGAAAAUGACAGGGUAGCAGAAGUGGAUGGAUUAAGGCUGUUUUAUUUCAUCUCCUUUAUUAUCUGGAUUCAUUACAGUAGAAGCUCUUUUAACUGACCUCAGUUUAAAUGAUUUGCUAGAUUAACCAGUGCUCUGUACUUUUAUAAAAGAGCGACUGACCCAAUGCCCUUGGCUUGCUGAAUGCACACAGCUGGUAGGCUUCUUCUAGCAAGCCCUCCUAGCUCCUCUUCUACUUAAGUGGUUCAUUGCCAAGAAUCAGGUGUGUUUGUUCUUGAACGUCUUUAUCCUUGUCCUUCUGACUAUAAGUGAUAUAAUCAGAAUUAUGGAAACUGUUGGAUUGUGACAGCAAAGAGAAUCACAUUUUGCAUUUGGAAGAUCAAAUAACACAUGUACAUGGCUUUAAGAGUCAGAUAAUACUUUAGAAAUAUUGUAAGACCUUAAAAACCACUUCAGCAGCUCCUGCCUUAUCUUUUCCCUAUUCCAUAGAGCCAACCGCUUUUUUUUUUCACAUUUAUUUACUUAUUUUGAGAGGGAGAGUGGGGGAAGGGCAGAAAGAGAGGAAGAGGGAGAAUCCCAAGCAGGCCAUGUGCUGUUGGCAUGGGGCCCAACAAAGGGCUAAAACCCACAAAGAGUGAGCUUAUGACCUGAGCCGAAACCAAGAGUCUGUCAGCCAACUGACUGAGCCACCCAGGUGCCCCGAGGCAACCACUUUGAUUUCUUUGGCAUAUAUCUCAAAUUUCCUAAGUAAUACAUUUAUAUUGCUGUUUGAUGAUUAAAACAAACAGUUUUUGGCUGUUAUCUAUUAACUUUGCAUGAUGGAAGAUAAGUUUAACUCUUUUACACCACUUCAAAUACUCACACUUAGCUUUCUCAUAGGAUUGUCACCAAUUUAUAUAGUGAAAUCAAUACUCAAAAUAUAUACUGUUGUAACUAUGUAAAUACUAUUUCUUACCGAAUCAUGUAGUGUUGUAUAAAAAUAUUUCCUUUCUUGUACCACUUUUUGUUUAACCCGGAGUAAAGACUUGACUUUGUUUUUUGGUUUUUGUUUUGCUUAGUUUUCUGUAUAUCUAUUUAUCAAUAGUUCAAUCCCAAAUGGAGUGAAAUUUAAAUCUCACAAUAUGGUUAAAUAAAUCAGAUAUUCUAUCAA
Herpailurus yagouaroundi (jaguarundi) is the source of this 2619-nucleotide long non-coding RNA. RefSeq lists it as uncharacterized. The transcript is spliced from 2 exons. NCBI's taxonomy places the organism in Eukaryota, Metazoa, Chordata, Mammalia, Carnivora, Felidae. The record is from RefSeq and is a predicted model, not a curated record.